GCUACACAUGCAGUCGAGCGGUAGCACAGAGAGCUUGCUCUCGGGUGACGAGCGGCGGACGGGUGAGUAAUGUCUGGGAAACUGCCUGAUGGAGGGGGAUAACUACUGGAAACGGUAGCUAAUACCGCAUAACGUCGCAAGACCAAAGAGGGGGACCUUCGGGCCUCUUGCCAUCAGAUGUGCCCAGAUGGGAUUAGCUAGUAGGUGGGGUAACGGCUCACCUAGGCGACGAUCCCUAGCUGGUCUGAGAGGAUGACCAGCCACACUGGAACUGAGACACGGUCCAGACUCCUACGGGAGGCAGCAGUGGGGAAUAUUGCACAAUGGGCGCAAGCCUGAUGCAGCCAUGCCGCGUGUAUGAAGAAGGCCUUCGGGUUGUAAAGUACUUUCAGCGGGGAGGAAGGCGAUAAGGUUAAUAACCUUGUCGAUUGACGUUACCCGCAGAAGAAGCACCGGCUAACUCCGUGCCAGCAGCCGCGGUAAUACGGAGGGUGCAAGCGUUAAUCGGAAUUACUGGGCGUAAAGCGCACGCAGGCGGUCUGUCAAGUCGGAUGUGAAAUCCCCGGGCUCAACCUGGGAACUGCAUUCGAAACUGGCAGGCUAGAGUCUUGUAGAGGGGGGUAGAAUUCCAGGUGUAGCGGUGAAAUGCGUAGAA
Molecule: ribosomal RNA, 655 nt
Filed under: Enterobacter sp.
Lineage: Bacteria; Pseudomonadati; Pseudomonadota; Gammaproteobacteria; Enterobacterales; Enterobacteriaceae
Description: bacterial SSU rRNA
Rfam family: Bacterial small subunit ribosomal RNA
Source: RNAcentral